AUGAAUCCUUACUCUUUACCUGAUGCAACUUUUUUUUUGCUUGUUUUCUUUUUACUUCUUUUUUUUUUCUUUUUGCAUUUUUAUUUUUUUUUCAAGGGGUUUCAGUACCUGCAGAACCAGUCAGUUUGUCAGUUACAAACAUUUGAAGAUACUGUCUUGCUACCAAAACUUUCAGUGAAAGAGUUUGGUAGUUAUGAUCCUGGGGUAUACAGGAAGAAAGAGAAAGCAUUGAUUGCUUUGCUCACAGAAAGCAUGUCUUCUUGUCUGUUUGCAGAGUUUUAUUGUGAAAGGUUUUAAACUGUUGAAAGAGUGGAUGGAAAGCCAGAAGAGCAAGAGCUGUCCUUUCUUAAUGCUCGGAAAUGUUCAUCUGGGAGUGUGAGGAAGGCUGCCAGCUCACAUGGUCCUGACGUGACGAAGCAUAUAUGGAGAUGAGUCCAGGAACUAACAGUGUGUAACUGGAGGUAAGUAGGUAAGUCUUGUUUGCCAUACGUUCUCAGACAAACACAGGACUGCUGAUCCCACAGACUGAUACUGGCAAAAUGCUGUUAAGAGCAUAAGCACUUUACUGCUCUUUAGUAGAUACACCUUUUCCCUACUGGCACAGAGAUGAGCUCUAUCUCAGAAACGUUGAGAAAGCUGCUGAAACAAUCCACUGCAAAGUUGUUGCUUCUCAUAUGCAGUACCUCUGCUGUUGUCACAGUUGUUUACUCUUCCACAAAUAGAAGAGUACUCCUUCAACAAGUCCAGCAGCAGACAACAGCAGCUGUGCAACUCGGGCUGAGUUCAUUUUCCCCUACAGUGAGUGGCCCUACUUUGUUAUUUCAGACACAAAGAGAACCAGAGGCAAAGAUAAACUGGUUUUCUGUCACAAGGGUGGGCUGACUACAUGCUGAUAAGUCCUGUCAUUUUAGUCCACCUAGUAACAUUAAUUCCUGUGGUAGCAUAUGGAUUGAUUUGGCCAUUGAGGUGGCAAAGCAUUUGAUUACACCUUAAGUCUUGCCAAUUUAAUUAAACUCACAUUAAAAAAGUAAUCACAUAUCUUUUCAAACACUGGGGUUUAUGUAAACUAGACCCAUGACCUUUUCAGUGUAUAUGUAUACAGAGAAACUUUUGAAGGUGAGCUUAGAUUUCUUGGCAGAGAUGCUUAGAAUUAAGCAUGAGUGGGUAUCAGUCUUCAUAUUGCUAAAGAUAGGCCUUGCUACAUUGGAGAGUUUGUAAUUUUGAUUCGCUUGGGUGUAGCCUUGAGAUUAUACCUUGAGGAGCCAGUCCUAGCUGCGGUACUGUAGGAGCCAAAGAACCACAACAUAAAUGUCUGCCUACACUGUGUUUUCUUAGGAGCUUUCAAGUUCUAAAGAGCAUCACUUGACAGUAAAGACAGCUUGCUAAUAUGUUGGUGUUAAAAAUAUUUUGGGCUUUAUAAGUCAUGACAGUUCAUAAAACUUUGCCUGUGAACAAAGCCUGGAGCACUAUUCGGAGGAGAACAUCAAUAUUUUUUACACAGCACAAAAUUAGUUGCUGUUGCUUUAAAUUAGAUGAUCCUUUAAAAUGGUCUUCAGGAUCAUUUCCAGCAGAAGCACAUGUCCAUUUGGAAUUAGCCAAACUAUGAGUCAUGGCAAAAGCAGUCCCCUUGCCCACAUUAAAUUCUGGCUGCCUGUCAGCUAAAUGUCACCUCUACUGUAUAAAGACUCUUGUCCCUGUGUGUUUUAGGCAUGUACAAAUGAAGCCCAAUGUCCAUAUUGGAUCAUUAAAAAUUUCUUCUGAGCUUAUUUUCUCAAACCCACACUUUUGACAACCAGAUAUUUAUUCACUACAUUUGCAACAGUUUACUAGAAAAGCAUAAAAAAAAUCUAGAUAUUAAUAUACACGUUACAUUAAAGUGCAUUAACACACAAAAUGUCAUCUCGCAAAAAAUUGAAUAAUUAUAAUCCCAUAAUCCUAAAGACAAGUGUGGCAGAGAGACACAGACGCACAUACACAAGUCAAUACUUACCGCUGAAACAUGGAAGAGCUUGCAUUCUGAAAUUCUUCUGUUCAUGAUUGUCUGCCACAUUAAACAUUUUCUUUGGGAUGUAUGUACCAAAGGUGCAUAAAUAUUUUGCUUUUUCAUUUUGCAGUUUAGUUGCUUGAUUAGGGGAAUGUUCUAAUUUAUUUUUAAAGAAUGAUUCUACAUUGCCUAAUGCAUGUUUGUGUGGAUGGAAUUUAAUAUUAGCACAAGAUCUUGCCAGUCCUUUUUCACCAUACAUUCAUACCAUCUCAAGUCUUAACUUUAGGGACCUGGCUUACCUUGAAACAAAUAACUGCAUCACCUUAGGACUUCUAGUUCUGCUGAGGUCUUCUAGGCUUCAAAUGGUUACAAAAUAUUUCAUUUAGAAUAUUCCAAGAAGCAAACUGAUCUUUGCAUAGGAGAAAGUAAAUAAUUUUAACUCUGCUUAUUGUCUAACAAAUGAGCAAUCUGCCUCUAAUCUACUCCUGUGGGUAUUUUACGUGCUUUAUACAUAUAUAUAUAUAUAUAUAUACCCCCCCCCCCCCCCCCCCCCCCCCCCCCCCCCCCCCCCCCCCCCCCCCCCCCCCCCCCCCCCCCCC
Ficedula albicollis (Collared flycatcher) is the source of this 2583-nucleotide long non-coding RNA. The record is from Ensembl. Lineage: Eukaryota; Metazoa; Chordata; Aves; Passeriformes; Muscicapidae.